AGACGUGGCCGACGCGGGUCAAAGUGUAAUAUCUCUUCUUAUCAGCUUAAUAUCUGGCACGGGUUCUAUCUGGACCCGAAAUAUUUACCUUUUUUUUUCAAGUUGGCGGAGUGCUUGAAGUCUGCUUCACCUCCACCGCGGGUCGGCCCGGUAUUGAAUUAUCUUCGGGAUCGACCCACGCUCU
Dermacentor silvarum is the source of this 184-nucleotide small nuclear RNA. RefSeq annotates it as U2 spliceosomal RNA. The record is from RefSeq and is a predicted model, not a curated record. The transcript has a single exon. NCBI's taxonomy places the organism in Eukaryota, Metazoa, Arthropoda, Arachnida, Ixodida, Ixodidae.